CGAUUUUGAUUUUUCUUUCUCAUAUUUGAUUAAACGUCAUUUAAUGCACAACAGUAAUUUGCAUUAAAAAGAAAAAGAAAAAAUAUAAAUUUUAAAAAAAAAUUUAUUAUGAAUAUUUUGUAGGACUAAAUUUCUGCCCGGGCCCAAUCAAACCAGUUCAAAUUAAACACCCCACUAAACCGACUACUAACUCCAUCACCUUACUAAACCAUCCACUACCUCCAUCACCCCCACACCCUACUAAACCGUCCACUAACUCC
This 260-nucleotide long non-coding RNA is filed under the name Gossypium barbadense (sea-island cotton). RNAcentral's name for it is "long non-coding RNA (GBAR_LNC009938)". The record is from RNAcentral. Lineage: Eukaryota; Viridiplantae; Streptophyta; Magnoliopsida; Malvales; Malvaceae.